AUUGAACGCUGGCGGCAGGCCUAACACAUGCAAGUCGAGCGGUAGAGAGGUGCUUGCAUCUCUUGAGAGCGGCGGACGGGUGAGUAAUGCCUAGGAAUCUGCCUAGUGGUGGGGGAUAACGUUCGGAAACGGACGCUAAUACCGCAUACGUCCUACGGGAGAAAGCGGGGGGAUCUUCGGACCUCGCGCCAUUAGAUGAGCCUAGGUCGGAUUAGCUAGUUGGUGAGGUAAUGGCUCACCAAGGCGACGAUCCGUAACUGGUCUGAGAGGAUGAUCAGUCACACUGGAACUGAGACACGGUCCAGACUCCUACGGGAGGCAGCAGUGGGGAAUAUUGGACAAUGGGC
This 347-nucleotide ribosomal RNA is filed under the name uncultured bacterium. RNAcentral describes it as "bacterial SSU rRNA". It matches the Rfam family "Bacterial small subunit ribosomal RNA", at positions 30 to 376 of the family's 1533-position model. The record is from RNAcentral.